RNAcentral lists this small RNA (153 nucleotides) under Halomonas sp. RNAcentral's name for it is "Guanidine-I sequence". It matches the Rfam family "Guanidine-I riboswitch aptamer". Rfam says of the family: This family represents a conserved RNA structure found upstream of the ykkC and yxkD genes in Bacillus subtilis and related genes in other bacteria. The function of this family is unclear although it has been suggested that it may function to switch on efflux pumps and detoxification systems in response to harmful environmental molecules. Lineage: Bacteria; Pseudomonadati; Pseudomonadota; Gammaproteobacteria; Oceanospirillales; Halomonadaceae. The record is from RNAcentral. RNAcentral also lists the same sequence under 1 other name.
CCAAUGGACGGCUAGGGUUCCGAUCGCAUCAUCACUCACCCCGAUGCGAUGACUGGUCCGAGAGCCGUCGACCCGGCGCAACAGAGGAGAUGCCCGCAGGGGCACUUUAUCUCGAGGCGCAAGGUUACACGGCGGGAGAAAAGCCCGGGAGGA